RNAcentral lists this unclassified non-coding RNA (337 nucleotides) under soil metagenome. RNAcentral describes it as "partial contains 5.8S ribosomal RNA, internal transcribed spacer 2, and large subunit ribosomal RNA". The stretch from base 1 to 120 matches the Rfam family "5.8S ribosomal RNA", at positions 35 to 154 of the family's 154-position model. The record is from RNAcentral.
GAUGAAGAACGCAGCGAAAUGCGAUAAGUAAUGUGAAUUGCAGAAUUCAGUGAAUCAUCGAAUCUUUGAACGCACAUUGCGCCCGCCAGUAUUCUGGCGGGCAUGCCUGUUCGAGCGUCAUUUCAACCAUCAAGCCCCCCGGCUUGUGUUGGGGACCUGCGGCUGCCGCAGGCCCUGAAAAGCAGUGGCGGGCUCGCUGUCACACCGAGCGUAGUAGCAUACAUCUCGCUCUGGGCGUGCUGCGGGUUCCGGCCGUUAAACCACCUUCAUAACCCAAGGUUGACCUCGGAUCAGGUAGGAAGACCCGCUGAACUUAAGCAUAUCAAUAAGCGGAGGA